RNAcentral lists this transfer RNA (58 nucleotides) under Rattus norvegicus (Norway rat). It matches the Rfam family "tRNA", at positions 8 to 63 of the family's 71-position model. From Rfam's summary of the family: Transfer RNA (tRNA) molecules are approximately 80 nucleotides in length. Lineage: Eukaryota; Metazoa; Chordata; Mammalia; Rodentia; Muridae. The record is from Rfam by way of RNAcentral.
UGGCUCAGUGGAUAAAGUGCUUGCCUUGCAAGCAUGAGGACAUGGGUUCAAUCCCCAA